GAUGAAGAACGCAGCAAAAUGCGAUAAGUAAUGUGAAUUGCAGAAUUCAGUGAAUCAUCGAAUCUUUGAACGCACAUUGCGCCCGCUGGUAUUCCGGCGGGCAUGCCUGUUCGAGCGUCAUUUCAACCCUCAAACCCCCCGGGUUUGGUGUUGGGGAUCGGCUCUGCCUCACGGCGGUGCCGCCCCCGAAAUACAUUGGCGGUCUCGCUGCAGCCUCCAUUGCGUAGUAGCUAACACCUCGCAACUGGAACGCGGCGCGGCCAUGCCGUAAAACCCCAACUUCUGAAUGUUGACCUCGGAUCAGGUAGGAAUACCCGCUGAACUUAAGCAUAUCGAUAAGCGGAGGA
This 347-nucleotide unclassified non-coding RNA is filed under the name soil metagenome. RNAcentral describes it as "partial contains 5.8S ribosomal RNA, internal transcribed spacer 2, and large subunit ribosomal RNA". The stretch from base 1 to 120 matches the Rfam family "5.8S ribosomal RNA", at positions 35 to 154 of the family's 154-position model. The record is from RNAcentral.